GAUGAACGCUGGCGGCAUGCCUAAGACAUGCAAGUCGAACGAGAGGGCCCAAGGAGAGAGAAAGAAAUGGAAAGUGCUUGCACUGGAAAUGGAAAGCUUUCGAAUUGGAAUUUCCCUCGAGUGGCAAACGGGUGAGUAACACGUGGGUUACCUACCUCUAUGAUGGGGAUAACAGUUGGAAACGAUUGCUAAUACCGAAUGUGCUCUACGGAGUAAAGAAGCCCUUAAAGCUUCGCAUAGAGAUGGGCCUGCGGUGCAUUAGCUAGUUGGUGGGGUAAUGGCCUACCAAGGCAGCGAUGCAUAGCCGAGCUGAGAGGUUGAUCGGCCACACUGGGACUGAGACACGGCCCAGACUCCUACGGGAGACAGCAGUUAGGAAUAUUGGUCAAUGGACGAGAGUCUGAACCAGCCAAGUAGCGUGCAGGAUGACGGCCCUAUGGGUUGUAAACUGCUUUUAUAAGGGAUAAAGUGAGUCUCGUGAGAC
Molecule: ribosomal RNA, 484 nt
Filed under: uncultured bacterium
Lineage: Bacteria
Description: bacterial SSU rRNA
Rfam family: Bacterial small subunit ribosomal RNA
Source: RNAcentral